AUACGGAGGAUCCGAGCGUUAUCCGGAUUUAUUGGGUUUAAAGGGUGCGCAGGCGGGAGAUUAAGUCGGCGGUGAAAUUUUGCAGCUCAACUGUAAAAGUGCCUUCGAAACUGGUUUCCUUGAGUGUAGAUGAAGGAGGCGGAAUUUGUGGUGUAGCGGUGAAAUGCAUAGAUAUCACGAGGAACUCCGAUUGCGCAGGCAGCUUACUAAACUACUACUGACGCUCAGGCACGAAGGCGUGGGGAUCAAACAGGAUUAGAUACCCUGGUAGUCCACGCAGUAAACGAUGAUUACUAGCUGUUUGCGAUACAAUGUAAGCGGCUGAGCGAAAGCGUUAAGUAAUCCACCUGGGGAGUACGUUCGCAAGAAUGAAACUCAAAUGAAUUGGCGGGG
This 393-nucleotide ribosomal RNA is filed under the name uncultured bacterium. Its description in RNAcentral is "partial 16S ribosomal RNA". It matches the Rfam family "Bacterial small subunit ribosomal RNA", at positions 523 to 918 of the family's 1533-position model. The record is from RNAcentral.